AAUGUGAUACAUACAUGCAAUAAAACACUAUUCAGCCUACAGAGAAGAUUAACAUGGCCCCACAGAAGGAUAACACACAAAUUCAUGAAGUGUUCCGUAUUUUU
Molecule: small nuclear RNA, 104 nt
Organism: Cercocebus atys (sooty mangabey)
Lineage: Eukaryota; Metazoa; Chordata; Mammalia; Primates; Cercopithecidae
Source: Ensembl